GAGUUUGAUCAUUGGCUCAGGAUGAACGCUAGCUACAGGCUUAACACAUGCAAGUCGAGGGGCAGCGAUGGUCUUAGCUUGCUAAGGCCGAUGGCGACCGGCGCACGGGUGAGUAACGCGUAUCCAACCUGCCUUACACUCUUGGACAGCCUUCUGAAAGGGAGAUUAAUACAAGAUGUUAUCAUGAGUAAGACAUUUUCGCAUUGAUUAAAGGUUUACCGGUGUAAGAUGGGAUGCGUUCCAUUAGAUAGUAGGCGGGGUAACGGCCCACCUAGUCUUCGAUGGAUAGGGGUUCUGAGAGGAAGGUCCCCCACAUUGGAACUGAGACACGGUCCAAACUCCUACGGGAGGCAGCA
Molecule: ribosomal RNA, 356 nt
Filed under: uncultured bacterium
Lineage: Bacteria
Description: bacterial SSU rRNA
Rfam family: Bacterial small subunit ribosomal RNA
Source: RNAcentral